UAGGGUUUGGGUUAGGGUUAGGGUUGGAGCUAGGGUUAGAGUUAGGGUUGGAGUUAGGGUUGGAGUUAGGGUCGGAGCUAGGGUUAGGGUUGGAGUUAGGGUUGGGGUUAGGGUUAGGGUUGGAGUUAGGGUUGGAGCUAGGGUUAGGGUUAGGGUUGGCGCUUGGGUUAGGGUUAGGGUUAGUGUUGGAGUUAGGGUUGCAGCUAGGGUUAGGGUUAGGGUUGGAGCUAGGGUUAGGGUUAGGGUUGGAGUUAGGGUUAGGGUUAGGGUUAGGGUUUGAGUUAGGGUUAGGGUUGGAGCUAGGGUUAGGGUAAGGGUUAGGGUUGGAGCUAGGGUUAGGGUUAGGGUUAGGGUUUGAGCUAGGGUUAGGGUUAGGGUUAGGGUUAGGGUUGGAGUUAGGGUUAGGGUUAGGGUUGGAGUUAGGGUUGCAGCUAGGGUUAGGGUUAGGGUUAGGGUUGGAGCCAGGAUUAAGGUUAGGGUUAGGGUUGGAGUUAGGGUUAGGGUUAGGGUUGGAGCUAGGGUUAGGGUUAGGGUUAGGGUUGGAGUUAGGGUUAGGGUUAGGGUUGGAGUUAGGGUUGGAGCUAGGGUUAGGGUUGGAGCUAGGGUUAGGGUUAGGGUUAGGGUUGGAGUUGGAGUUAGGGUUGGAGCUAGGGUUAGGGUUAGGGUUAGGGUUGGAGCUAGGGUUAGGGUUAGGGUUGGAGUUAGGGUUGGAGCUAGGGUUUGGGUUAGGGUUAGGGUUAGGGUUAGGGUUAGAGUUAGGGUUGGAGUUAGGGUUGGAGUUAGGGUUGGAGCUAGGGUUAGGGUUGGAGUUAGGGUUGGGGUUAGGGUUAGGGUUGGAGUUAGGGUUGGAGCUAGGGUUAGGGUUAGGGUUGGCGCUUGGGUUAGGGUUAGGGUUAGUGUUGGAGUUAGGGUUGCAGCUAGGGUUAGGGUUAGGGUUAGGGUUGGAGCGUUAGGGUUAGGGUUAGAGUUAGGGUUAGGGUUAGGGUUAGGGUUUGAGUUAGGGUUAGGGUUGGAGCUAGGGUUAGGGUAAGGGUUAGGGUUGGAGCUAGGGUUAGGGUUAGGGUUAGGGUUUGAGCUAGGGUUAGGGUUAGGGUUAGGGUUAGGGUUGGAGUUAGGGUUAGGGUUAGGGUUAGGGUUAGGGUUGGAGUUAGGGUUGCAGCUAGGGUUAGGGUUAGGGUUAGGGUUGGAGCCAGGAUUAAGGUUAGGGUUAGGGUUGGAGUUAGGGUUAGGGUUAGGGUUGGAGCUAGGGUUAGGGUUAGGGUUAGGGUUAGGGUUUGAGUUAGGGUUGCAGCUAGGGUUAGGGUUAGGGUUAGGGUUGGAGCUAGGGUUAGGGUUGUUAUAGGGUUGGAGCUAGGGUUAGGGUUAGGGUUGGAGCUAGAGUUAGGGUUAGGGUUGGAGUUAGGGUUAGGGUUAGGGUUAUGGUUGGAGUUAGGGUUGCAGCUAGGGUUAGGGUUAGGGUUAGGGUUAGGGUUGAGCUAGGGUUAGGGUUAGGGUUGGAGCUAGGGUUAGGGUUAGGGUUAGGGUUGGAGCUAGGGUUAGGGUUAGGGUUAGGGUUGGAGUUAGGGUUGGAGCUAGGGUUAGGGUUGGAGCUAGGGUUAGGGUUAGGGUUGGAGGGUUAGGGUUAGGGUUAGGGUUAGGGUUGGAGUUAGGGUUGGAGCUAGGGUUAGGGUUAGGGUUAGAGCUAGGGUUAGGGUUAGGGCUAGGGUUGGAGUUAGGGUUGGAGCUAGGGUUAGGGUUAGGGUUAGAGCUAGGGUUAGGGUUAGGGUUAGGGUUGGAGUUAGGGUUGCAGCUAGGGUUAGGGUUAGGGUUAGGGUUAGGGUUGGAGUUAGGGUUAGGGUUAGGGUUAGGUAUAUGCAUUUUGGAGGUCGUAGAGCGCUGAAACUUGCAUGUUUGGGGUGGAAGAUUUUUCUGAGUCCAAUGAACCAACUCCCGAGUCUCUAGGACGUUCCUAAAAAAAGUUGAUUUUUUCCAAUAGGAAUGCAUGGGAAGAAAAUUUUGAGUGAAGAAAAUUCAUUGAAGUGCCGACCCAAUUUUUCACCUUCCAGAAUUGUGUUAGGAGUACGUUUCAGGCCACGGGUCUAUAGAACCUAAUUCUGGGGGAAGUUUUUUGAAAAGUUUACUUAGGGUUAGGGUUAGGGUUAGGGUUGGAGCUAGGGUUAGGGUUAGGGUUGGAGCUAGGGUUAGGGUUAGGGUUAGGGUUGGAGUUAAGGUUGGAGCUAAGGUUAGGGUUAGGGUUAGGGUUGGAGCUAGGGUUAGGGUUAGGGUUAGGGUUGGAGUUAGGGUUGGAGCUAGGGUUAGGGUUAGGGUUAGGGUUGGAGCUAGGGUUAGGGUUAGGGUUAGGGUUGGAGUUAGGGUUGGAGCUAGGGUUAGGGUUAGGGUUGGAGCUAGGGUUAGGGUUAGGGUUGGCGCUAGGGUUAGGGUUAGGGUUAGUGUUGGAGUUAGGGUUGCAGCUAGGGUUAGGGUUAGGGUUAGGGUUGGAGCUAGGGUUAGGGUUAGGGUUGGAGUUAGGGUUAGGGUUAGGGUUUGAGUUAGGGUUAGGGUUGGAGCUAGGGUUAGGGUUAGGGUUAGGGUUGGAGCUAGGGUUAGGGUUAGGGUUAGGGUUUGAGCUAGGGUUAGGGUUAGGGUUAGGGUUGGAGUUAGGGUUAGGGUUAGGGUUGGAGUUAGGGUUGCAGCUAGGGUUAGGGUUAGGGUUAGGGUUGGAGCUAGGGUUAGGGUUAGGGUUAGGGUUAGAGCUAGGGUUAGGGUUAGGGUUAGGGUUAGGGUUUGAGUUAGGGUUGCAGCUAGGGUUAGGGUUAGGGUUAGGGUUGGAGCUAGGUUUAGGGUUGUUAUAGGGUUGGAGCUAGGGUUAGGGUUAGGGUUGGGGUUGGAGCUAGAGUUAGGGUUAGGGUUGGAGUUAGGGUUAGGGUUAGGGUUAUGGUUGGAGUUAGGGUUGCAGCUAGGGUUAGGGUUAGGGUUAGGGUUGAGCUAGGGUUAGGGUUAGGGUUGGAGCUAGGGUUAGGGUUAGGGUUAGGGUUGGAGCUAGGGUUAGGGUUAGGGUUAGGGUUGGAGUUAGGGUUGGAGCUAGGGUUAGGGUUUGAGCUAGGGUUAGGGUUAGGGUUGGAGCUAGGGUUGGAGCUAGGGUUAGGAUUAGGGUUAGGGUUGGAGUUAGGGUUGGAGCUAGGGUUAGGGUUAGGGUUAGAGCUAGGGUUAGGGUUAGGGUUAGGGUUGGAGUUAGGGUUGGAGCUAGGGUUAGGGUUAGGGUUAGAGCUAGGGUUAGGGUUAGGGUUAGGGUUGGAGUUAGGGUUGGAGUUAGGGUUAGGGUUAGGGUUAGGUAUAUGCAUUUUGGAGGUCGUAGAGCGCUGAAACUUGCAUGUUUUGGGUGGAAGAUUUUUCUGAGUCCAAUGAACCAACUCCCGAGUCUCUAGGACGUUCCUAAAAAAAGUUGAUUUUUUCCAAUAGGAAUGCAUGGGAAGAAAAUUUUGAGUGAAGAAAAUUCAUUGAAGUGCCGACCCAAUUUUUCACCUUCCAGAAUUGUGUUAGGAGUACGUUUCAGGCCACGGGGAGUCUAUAGAACCUAAUUCUGGGGGAAGUUUUUUGAAAAGUUUACUUAGGGUUAGGGUUAGGGUUAGGGUUGGAGCUAGGGUUAGGGUUAGGGUUGGAGCUAGGGUUAGGGUUAGGGUUAGGGUUGGAGUUAAGGUUGGAGGUUAGGGUUAGGGUUAGGGUUGGAGCUAGGGUUAGGGUUAGGGUUAGGGUUGGAGUUAGGGUUGGAGCUAGGGUUAGGGUUAGGGUUGGAGCUAGGGUUAGGGUUAGGGUUAGGGUUGGAGUUAGGGUUGGAGCUAGGGUUAGGGUUAGGGUUGGAGCUAGGGUUAGGGUUAGGGUUGGCGCUAGGGUUAGGGUUAGGGUUAGUGUUGGAGUUAGGGUUGCAGCUAGGGUUAGGGUUAGGGUUAGGGUUGGAGCUAGGGUUAGGGUUAGGGUUGGAGUUAGGGUUAGGGUUAGGGUUUGAGUUAGGGUUAGGGUUGGAGCUAGGGUUAGGGUAAGGGUUAGGGUUGGAGCUAGGGUUAGGGUUAGGGUUAGGGUUUGAGCUAGGGUUAGGGUUAGGGUUAGGGUUGGAGUUAGGGUUAGGGUUAGGGUUGGAGUUAGGGUUGCAGCUAGGGUUAGGGUUAGGGUUAGGGUUGGAGCUAGGGUUAGGGUUAGGGUUAGGGUUAGAGCUAGGGUUAGGGUUAGGGUUAGGGUUAGGGUUUGAGUUAGGGUUGCAGCUAGGGUUAGGGUUAGGGUUAGGGUUGGAGCUAGGGUUAGGGUUGUUAUAGGGUUGGAGCUAGGGUUAGGGUUAGGGUUAGGGUUGGAGCUAGAGUUAGGGUUAGGGUUGGAGUUAGGGUUAGGGUUAGGGUUAUGGUUGGAGUUAGGGUUGCAGCUAGGGUUAGGGUUAGGGUUAGGGUUGAGCUAGGGUUAGGGUUAGGGUUGGAGCUAGGGUUAGGGUUAGGGUUAGGGUUGGAGCUAGGGUUAGGGUUAGGGUUAGGGUUGGAGUUAGGGUUGGAGCUAGGGUUAGGGUUUGAGCUAGGGUUAGGGUUAGGGUUGGAGCUAGGGUUUGAGCUAGGGUUAGGAUUAGGGUUAGGGUUGGAGUUAGGGUUGGAGCUAGGGUUAGGGUUAGGGUUAGAGCUAGGGUUAGGGUUAGGGUUAGGGUUGGAGUUAGGGUUGGAGCUAGGGUUAGGGUUAGGGUUAGAGCUAGGGUUAGGGUUAGGGUUAGGGUUGGAGUUAGGGUUGCAGCUAGGGUUAGGGUUAGGGUUGGAGCUAGGGUUAGGGUUAGGGUUGGAGUUAGGGUUAGGGUUAGGGUUAGGUAUAUGCAUUUUGGAGGUCGUAGAGUGCUGAAACUUGCAUGUUGGGGGUGGAAGAAUUUUUCUGAGUCCAAUGAACCAACUCCCGAGUCUCUAGGACGUUCCUAAAAAAAGUUGAUUUUUUCCAAUAGGAAUG
This is a non-coding RNA of Xyrichtys novacula (pearly razorfish), 4947 nucleotides long. Lineage: Eukaryota; Metazoa; Chordata; Actinopteri; Labriformes; Labridae. The record is from the annotation of a GenBank genome assembly.